AGUAUGAUUGUUGGAUCAUAUGGUAAGAGUAUAUUUUGAAGAAACUGCCAGACUGUUUUUCAAAGUGCCUGUUUCAUUUUGUAUUCCCAUCAGCAAU
RNAcentral lists this microRNA precursor (97 nucleotides) under Marmota monax (woodchuck). It matches the Rfam family "mir-562 microRNA precursor family". The record is from RNAcentral. Lineage: Eukaryota; Metazoa; Chordata; Mammalia; Rodentia; Sciuridae.